RNAcentral lists this ribosomal RNA (122 nucleotides) under uncultured bacterium. RNAcentral's name for it is "partial 16S ribosomal RNA". It matches the Rfam family "Bacterial small subunit ribosomal RNA", at positions 1369 to 1482 of the family's 1533-position model. The record is from RNAcentral.
CGUUCCCCGGGUCUUGUACACACCCGCCCGUCACACCACGAAAGUCGGCAACACCCCGAAGCCCGGUGGCCUAACCCCGCAAGGGAAGGAGCCGUCGAAGGUGGGGGCUGGCGAUUGGGGUG